AGGAAAGUCCGGGCUUCACAGGGCAGGAUGCCGGAUAACGUCCGGUGGAGGUGACUCCAAGGCCAGUGCAACAGAGAUAUACCGCCAGUCCUAGACUGGUAAGGGUGGAAAGGCGGUGUAAGAGACCACCGUCCCCCUGGUAACAGGGGGAGCCAUGUAAACCCCAUUCGAAGCAAGACCGCAUAGAAGCGUUGACGUUGCCCGCCAGCUUCAGGUAGGUCGCUAGAGGUCCGCGGUAACGCGGAUCCUGGAUAGAUGAUCACGCAACGACAUAACCCGGCUUAUCGUUUUGCUU
RNAcentral lists this RNase P RNA (295 nucleotides) under bovine gut metagenome. Its description in RNAcentral is "Bacterial RNase P class A". It matches the Rfam family "Bacterial RNase P class A", at positions 44 to 362 of the family's 367-position model. From Rfam's summary of the family: Ribonuclease P (RNase P) is a ubiquitous endoribonuclease, found in archaea, bacteria and eukarya as well as chloroplasts and mitochondria. Its best characterised activity is the generation of mature 5'-ends of tRNAs by cleaving the 5'-leader elements of precursor-tRNAs. The record is from RNAcentral.